Molecule: ribosomal RNA, 451 nt
Filed under: uncultured Chloroflexota bacterium
Lineage: Bacteria; Bacillati; Chloroflexota
Description: bacterial SSU rRNA
Rfam family: Bacterial small subunit ribosomal RNA
Source: RNAcentral
CCCGCACAAGCAGCGGAGCGUGUGGUUUAAUUCGAUGCAACGCGAAGAACCUUACCAAGGCUUGACAUGCCAGAAGUAGGAACUCGAAAGAGAGACCACCUGUAUCCAGUCAGGAACUGGCACAGGUGCUGCAUGGCUGUCGUCAGCUCGUGCCGUGAGGUGUUAGGUUAAGUCCUGCAACGAGCGCAACCCUCGUCGCUAGUUAAAUUUUCUAGCGAUACUGCCCGUAAAACGAGGAGGAAGGUGGGGAUGACGUCAAGUCAGCAUGGCCCUUACGCCUUGGGCUACACACACGCUACAAUGGGUGAUACAACGGGUUGCGAGAGAGCGAUCUGGAGCUAAUCCCUAAAAUCAUCCUCAGUUCGGAUUGCAGGCUGAAACUGCCUGCAUGAAGUUGGAGUUGCUAGUAACCGCAGGUCAGCACACUGCGGUGAAUACGUUCUCGGGCCUU